This is a long non-coding RNA of Numida meleagris (helmeted guineafowl), 1676 nucleotides long. NCBI's taxonomy places the organism in Eukaryota, Metazoa, Chordata, Aves, Galliformes, Numididae. The record is from Ensembl.
AUGCGUGCUCACAACAACGUGCAGCCUCACCCUUUUGCACACCCACCUGCACAUGCACUCAUGUGCAACAGCCUCGUGCACACACCCAAGAGAGCACAACCACCCCUUCACACACCCAGGUGCACAAGUCCAUGUGCGACCCCAGCCCUUUACACACCCAUUUGCACAGCCAUAUCCACGUGCAGCACCCUUGCGCUCACACCCAUGCACGCACAACCACCUCAUUGCACACCCAUGUACAAACACACUUGUGCAAAUCAUCCUUGCACACACACACUCAUGCAUCCCCACCCCCUUGCACACCCACGAGCACUCACUCUCGUGCAUCCCCACCCUUGCACUCCCCAUGUGCACUCACAACAAUGCGCCACCCCACCCCAUGUGCACACCCAUAUCCACGUGCAACACCCGUGUGCACACUCCCUCACAUGUGCACAACCACCUCAUUGCACACCCAGGUGCAAGCUCCCCACCGUGCACAGAAAUGUGCGCAAGUGCACGUGCAACAUCCUCGUGCACAAAGCCGCAUGCGCACCCCACCCCAUCGCACACCCAUGUGCACACGCACUUGUGCAACCCCACCCUUGCACUCCCGUGUGCUCACACCCAAGCGCAACCUCACCCCUUUGCACACCCAUGCACACACACACCACUGCGCAACACUCGUGCACACACCAUUUGCACAACCACCCCAAUUCGCACGCCGGGGUGCACUCCCACCCAUGUGCAAACACACCCCUUGCACACUUAAACUCACUCAUGCAUCCCCACCCUUGCAUUCCCCAUGUGCGCUCCCACCCACGUGCAACCUCAGCUCUUUGCACACCUGUGUGCUCACAAGUGUACAGCCCCACAGCAUCGCACAGCCAUGUGCACACACACACGUGCAUCCCCACCCUUGCACUCCCCAUGCACGCUCACACCAUAGUGCAACCCCAUAGCAUCGCACAGCCAUGUGCACACACUCGUGCAUCCCCACUGAUGUGCAACACUCUCGUGCACACAUUUGCACAACCACACCAGUUUGCACACCCAGGUGCACACACUCUUGUGCGCCCCCACCCUUGCACUCCCCAUGCACGCUCACACCCAAGUGCAACCUCAGCACUUUGCACACCCAGACACACACACACUGAUGUGCAACACUCGUGCACACACCUAUAUUUGCACGCCCAUCCCCAUUUGAACACCCAGGUGCACUCCUACCCCUUGCACCCUCAUCUAAACUCACCCUCGUGCAUCCCCACCCUCGCACUCCCCACGUGCACUCCCGCCCAAGUGCAACCUCAGCCCUUUGCACACCUAUGUAUGCACACACUGAUGUGCAACACUCUUGUGGACACACCUAUAUUUGCACAACCACCCCUAUUUGCACACCCAGGUUCAGACACACUCGUGCACUCCCACCCCUUGCACACUCAUCUAAACUCACCCUCGUGCAUCCCCACCCUCGCACUCCCCACGUGCGCACCCGCCCAAGCGCAACCUCAGCCCUUUGCACGCCCGUGCACACACAAGUGUGCAACCCCACAGCAUCGCACACCCAUGUGCACCCGCUUGUGCAACCCCACCCUCGCACUCCCCGUGUGCACACACACACAAGUGCAACCUCAGCCCUUCGCACGCCCCGUGCACACUCACGCUCGUCACCCCCCAGCACCGCCCCCCUGCGCACG